Triticum urartu is the source of this 109-nucleotide non-coding RNA. The record is from Rfam. Lineage: Eukaryota; Viridiplantae; Streptophyta; Magnoliopsida; Poales; Poaceae.
UGUUUGCUGUGAUGAAUCACAAGGACGGUAUCUGAGCGAGGUGGCUCUUGAAAAAGGGCCUUCUUCCUUGAUUACACACCCUUAACUGAUCAUAAAUUCUGAGCAAACG